Pteronotus mesoamericanus is the source of this 137-nucleotide non-coding RNA. Lineage: Eukaryota; Metazoa; Chordata; Mammalia; Chiroptera; Mormoopidae. The record is from RefSeq and is a predicted model, not a curated record.
GUGACUGUCCCUGGCCCUGAUUCAUUCGUUAGCGCCCAGUGUGGCGGGAGGCAGUCACGCACAUCAUGGCCUGCGGUUCCUGGUGGCGAUAGGCUCUGUCAAGGUACCAGAUUUUCUGUGCGCUGGUUCCACACGGG